Molecule: ribosomal RNA, 794 nt
Filed under: Bacillus mojavensis
Lineage: Bacteria; Bacillati; Bacillota; Bacilli; Caryophanales; Bacillaceae
Description: bacterial SSU rRNA
Rfam family: Bacterial small subunit ribosomal RNA
Source: RNAcentral
CGGAUUAUUGGGCGUAAGGGCUCGCAGGCGGUUUCUUAAGUCUGAUGUGAAAGCCCCCGGCUCAACCGGGGAGGGUCAUUGGAAACUGGGGAACUUGAGUGCAGAAGAGGAGAGUGGAAUUCCACGUGUAGCGGUGAAAUGCGUAGAGAUGUGGAGGAACACCAGUGGCGAAGGCGACUCUCUGGUCUGUAACUGACGCUGAGGAGCGAAAGCGUGGGGAGCGAACAGGAUUAGAUACCCUGGUAGUCCACGCCGUAAACGAUGAGUGCUAAGUGUUAGGGGGUUUCCGCCCCUUAGUGCUGCAGCUAACGCAUUAAGCACUCCGCCUGGGGAGUACGGUCGCAAGACUGAAACUCAAAGGAAUUGACGGGGGCCCGCACAAGCGGUGGAGCAUGUGGUUUAAUUCGAAGCAACGCGAAGAACCUUACCAGGUCUUGACAUCCUCUGACAAUCCUAGAGAUAGGACGUCCCCUUCGGGGGCAGAGUGACAGGUGGUGCAUGGUUGUCGUCAGCUCGUGUCGUGAGAUGUUGGGUUAAGUCCCGCAACGAGCGCAACCCUUGAUCUUAGUUGCCAGCAUUCAGUUGGGCACUCUAAGGUGACUGCCGGUGACAAACCGGAGGAAGGUGGGGAUGACGUCAAAUCAUCAUGCCCCUUAUGACCUGGGCUACACACGUGCUACAAUGGACAGAACAAAGGGCAGCGAAACCGCGAGGUUAAGCCAAUCCCACAAAUCUGUUCUCAGUUCGGAUCGCAGUCUGCAACUCGACUGCGUGAAGCUGGAAUCGCUAGUAAU